AGAGUUUGAUCAUGGCUCAGAACGAACGCUGGCGGCGUGCCUAACACAUGCAAGUCGCGCGGGAAAGCAGGGGCAACUCUGCAAGUACAGCGGCGCACGGGUGAGUAACACGUAGGUAACCUACCUCCACGCCUGGGAUAACCUGUCGAAAAGACGGGCUAAUACCGGAUACGACCACAGAAGUUGAGGCUUCGGUGGUGAAAGGUGGCCUCUGCUUGCAAGCUACCACAUGGGGAUGGGCCUGCGCGCCAUUAGCUUGUUGGUGAGGUGACGGCCCACCAAGGCAAAGAUGGCUAGCUGGUCUGAGAGGAUGGCCAGCCACACUGGGACUGAGACACGGCCCAGACUCCUACGGGAGGCAGCAGUGGGGAAUAUUGCGCAAUGGGCGAAAGCCUGACGCAGCGACGCCGCGUGGGUGAUGAAGGCCUUCGGGUCGUAAAGCCCUGUCGGGAGGGACGAAUCCUCGGUGACCUAACACGUCAUCGACCUGACGGUACCUCCGAAGGAAGCACCGGCUAACUCCGUGCCAGCAGCCGCGGUAAUACGGAGGGUGCGAGCGUUGUUCGGAAUCACUGGGCGUAAAGCGCGUGUAGGCGGCUUCUUAAGUCUGGUGUGAAAGCCCGGGGCUUACCCCCGGAAGGGCACUGGAAACUGGGGAGCUGGAGUACCGGAGAGGAGGGUGGAAUUCCUGGUGUAGCGGUGAAAUGCGUAGAUAUCAGGAGGAACACCGGUGGCGAAGGCGGCCCUCUGGACGGAUACUGACGCUGAGACGCGAAAGCGUGGGGAGCAAACAGGAUUAGAUACCCCAGUAGUCC
RNAcentral lists this ribosomal RNA (815 nucleotides) under uncultured bacterium. RNAcentral's name for it is "bacterial SSU rRNA". It matches the Rfam family "Bacterial small subunit ribosomal RNA", at positions 8 to 796 of the family's 1533-position model. The record is from RNAcentral.